UGGUGGUGGGAUUAUUUGUAUUAGUACAGUACGCACAUUUCGUCCGUGUUUUCCCCACAGACGAGCCAUUAACUCAAGUUAAGAAGGAAACUGAAGCCUUUGCAGCCUGAAUGGAAGAUGUUUUUAUGUGCCAGCCGGUCCAUGGGGGCCAAUUGUAUUGCUGGCCGAAUACAUAAAAGUUGGACGUAAGAUGCCAAAAUAUGUAAAAGGCCGGAUGGGCUAGGCUAUAUAUGAACGGCGACAGCCUCCGCUCUCUCGGCCUUCUGCUAAAUGUACCUCUUGCCAUUCCUCUGCAUCGGUCGAGGAUCCUGACACUACUGUGACGACUGGCGAGGACGCGCUCUCUCGUUGUCCUCUCUGCGCGCUCCCGUGCCAUCUUCAGUUCCAGUAGCUGUAGCUUCCUCCGCAAUCCCCUGUUUUCUUUCUGGCUUUGAGUUAUUUCCAAACGAAACACUGCAUAGUCGUCGUCUACGACUUUACAGAUCUCUGCCACGGCUGCAUUCGCUAGAACCUCCACGAUGGAGGCUAUCUGAGUGUGAAAAACCAUACAGUUAACGUUAGCCAUUUUUAGCUAACCAGCAGCCAGAUAGCAUCUAUAAACAAAGACCCGGGACCAACGCGAAUUAAACACCACCUGGGGCUCUGGGGCCUGAGAAGAAGAGCAUCUUCGGACAGUAUUCUUUGCAAUGUUUCGGCAGUGAAGACCUGGAAACCCAAAAGCUCCAGUUUCUUUGUCUUUUUGUUUGUUUAUGCAGUACAAUUAAUCAUAUGUUCGAUAAACACACAAUUUUAAAUUGUAUGCAUUUUAGAAUAAGGCUGUAUAACGUAACAAAAUGGGGAAAAUGGGAAGGGGUAUGAAUACUUUGAAUGCACUGUACCUUUUGUUGUGAAUGCCCAUCCUGGUACUGUCUGUAUUGGUGGGGUAACCACGAGGUACUCUAAUUGAGGAAGGCUAGACCCAGGUUCAGGCCCAGACCUUCUAUGAACCCAGUCACGAGGCAUUAGAUGAGAAGCUGAAGGAGAAAACAGACUUCCUGAUAAACUACCACCAGGGGAGUCUCCCACCACUCUCUGUGAAGGCUGAAGUCCAGGGUGACCUGUUCUGGUCAUCCUGGAUACUGUGGUGUUUGCAUCAUAGGAAUAGGAGGGUCUCUCUCUAUCAGCCCCAGGUCCUGGGCUGCAGACUGGAUCCAUGACUGGAGCCUCUGUCUCUCUGAUGACCACCAGGACUGAGGUUGUUCAGUCCACCUGUCCACUGGUGGUGGUGAAGUCUCUCUCCCUAGUGGUUCGGUGCCAGGUCCGACUCAGGAAGGAAGAGAGAUGGCUCCUGAUCCAGUGUCCUGAUCCGGGGACAGGGUUUGUGACCAGCCACCUCAGAGGUCCAGUCUCUCCCACCAGCAACACCGAAUACAGGUCAGCAGGUCUUCAUGGACUGCAGACUGUAAACACAAAUUGUACAGAAAUGCAUAAAGGUUUAUAUUAAAAAACAAUGUUCUGUACACACAGAAACAUGAUAAUUAUAAAAUGUUAACCACA
Long non-coding RNA from Oncorhynchus nerka (sockeye salmon), 1536 nucleotides. RefSeq lists it as uncharacterized. The record is from RefSeq and is a predicted model, not a curated record. NCBI's taxonomy places the organism in Eukaryota, Metazoa, Chordata, Actinopteri, Salmoniformes, Salmonidae. The transcript has 2 exons.